ACAUAGUGAGUGGGGGAAAGGAAAGAGAGGAAAAAUCAUUUUUUUUUUCUGUAUUCUUCACGCAAAUCGAAAUAGAGGGGGAGAAGAGAAGAACUUUCAGCGUUGGGGCUGAAAUUUUUACAAGCUUCAAUUGAUCAAUUGUAAAUUGGGGAAAAGAGAAGGUUGCAGAAUAAUCAUCUGCAGUUUUAGCACUGGACGCAACCUCCAUCAGCUUAUCUAACUAGUGUUGGGCGCACAUUUGUCGGUUUAUCCGACUAGCGCUGGGCACAAACUGUUUCGCGGAUUAUCUGCUAGGCACCAGGUGCCGUGUAUCAACUGGACUAUACAACAAGGUUUUAUGAAUGAUCUAAGGAGGAUGGUUAUAGGUUAGGUACUCUUUUUUGAUCGUCGACUCAGCAUCCAACAACAACAAUCCUGAUCUCAAGUGUGGUGAGGUUUAAUUUUGUAAUGACAUGUACCUAGGAUGUCUUUGGUUGUUAGUUGUUUUGUGAAUGUGAUGCAAAUUGAGUUAUAGGUAUACGUUUAUGGUUGAAGCUAAAUGUUAGUAUGCGUUUUGUCCAAAGGCUUGAUAUGUGUAUGAAACUUAAAGCUUGGUGUCUUAAGUAGAUUUAUGUUAGGCUAAUUGAGUGAUUUUGGUAUACUUUAAACUUUGAUUUGGAUGAUGCAUUGUCGAUGUGUUUUGAUGAUAUAUAAAUGUGGUACCAGUGAGGGUACAUUGGUUAGGCA
Molecule: long non-coding RNA, 726 nt
Organism: Gossypium arboreum
Lineage: Eukaryota; Viridiplantae; Streptophyta; Magnoliopsida; Malvales; Malvaceae
Exons: 4
Source: RefSeq, a predicted model, not a curated record